UACGUAGGGGGCAAGCGUCGUCCGGAUUUAUUGGGCGUAAAGAGCGUGUAGGCGGCCAGGUAGGUCAGCUGUGAAAACUCGAGGCUCAACCUCGAGACGUCGGUUGAAACCACCUGGCUAGAGUCCGGAAGAGGAGAGUGGAAUUCCUGGUGUAGCGGUGAAAUGCGCAGAUAUCAGGAAGAACACCCGUGGCGAAGGCGGCUCUCUGGGACGGUACUGACGCUGAGACGCGAAAGCGUGGGGAGCGAACAGG
RNAcentral lists this ribosomal RNA (253 nucleotides) under uncultured bacterium. RNAcentral describes it as "partial 16S ribosomal RNA". It matches the Rfam family "Bacterial small subunit ribosomal RNA", at positions 524 to 776 of the family's 1533-position model. The record is from RNAcentral.